Molecule: unclassified non-coding RNA, 158 nt
Filed under: soil metagenome
Description: partial internal transcribed spacer 1
Source: RNAcentral
CAAGAAACGAGGCCGCGUGCGCUCGGCCCGCCCGGCCCGCUCCUUACCUUGCCUACUGCACCGUUUGUUGCUUCCUGGCGGCGGACUUGCCCGCCGCCAGGGACGUUGAUACAAACCCUGUAUAGAAGCAUUGAAGCUCUGAGAAACGCGAAAUCGUA